UUAAUUGAAGAGUUUGAUCAUGGCUCAGAUUGAACGCUGGCGGCAGGCCUAACACAUGCAAGUCGAGCGGUAACAGGGGAAGCUUGCUUCUCGCUGACGAGCGGCGGACGGGUGAGUAAUGUAUGGGGAUCUGCCCG
RNAcentral lists this ribosomal RNA (137 nucleotides) under Providencia rettgeri. RNAcentral's name for it is "partial 16S ribosomal RNA". It matches the Rfam family "Bacterial small subunit ribosomal RNA", at positions 1 to 132 of the family's 1533-position model. The record is from RNAcentral. Lineage: Bacteria; Pseudomonadati; Pseudomonadota; Gammaproteobacteria; Enterobacterales; Morganellaceae.